Molecule: ribosomal RNA, 293 nt
Filed under: uncultured bacterium
Lineage: Bacteria
Description: partial 16S ribosomal RNA
Rfam family: Bacterial small subunit ribosomal RNA
Source: RNAcentral
GUGCCAGCCGCCGCGGUAAGACGGAGGGUGCUAGCGUUGUUCGGAAUCACUGGGCGUAAAGGGCGCGUAGGCGGCUUUGGCAGUCGGCUUGUGAAAGCCCGGGGCUCAACCCCGGAGGUGCGGCCGAUACACCAAGGCUGGAGGCCGGAAGAGGAGGGUGGAAUACCCAGUGUAGAGGUGAAAUUCGUAGAUAUUGGGUGGAACACCGGUGGCGAAAGCGGCUCUCUGGUCCGGUCCUGACGCUGAGGCGCGAAAGCGUGGGGAGCAAACAGGAUUAGAUACCCCCGUAGUCC